GACGAACGCUGGCGGCGUGCCUAAUACAUGCAAGUCGUGCGGACCUUGUUGAAAGCUUGCUUUUAAAAGGUUAGCGGCGGACGGGUGAGUAACACGUGGGCAACCUGCCUGUAAGACUGGGAUAACGCCGGGAAACCGGGGCUAAUACCAGAUCGUUUUUUCCUCCGCAUGGAGGAAAAAGGAAAGGCGGCUUCGGCUGCCACUUACAGAUGGGCCCGCGGCGCAUUAGCUAGUUGGCGGGGUAAUGGCCCACCAAGGCAACGAUGCGUAGCCGACCUGAGAGGGUGAUCGGCCACAUUGGGACUGAGACACGGCCCAAACUCCUACGGGAGGCAGCAGUAGGGAAUCUGCCGCAAUGGACGAAAGUCUGACGGAGCAACGCCGCGUGAGUGAAGAAGGCCUUCGGGUCGUAAAACUCUGUUGCCGGGGAAGAACAAGUGCCGUUCGAACAGGGCGGCGCCUUGACGGUACCCGGCCAGAAAGCCACGGCUAACUACGU
RNAcentral lists this ribosomal RNA (499 nucleotides) under uncultured bacterium. Its description in RNAcentral is "partial 16S ribosomal RNA". It matches the Rfam family "Bacterial small subunit ribosomal RNA", at positions 28 to 506 of the family's 1533-position model. The record is from RNAcentral.